This 222-nucleotide unclassified non-coding RNA is filed under the name Hevea brasiliensis (rubber tree). Lineage: Eukaryota; Viridiplantae; Streptophyta; Magnoliopsida; Malpighiales; Euphorbiaceae. The record is from RNAcentral.
AUCAGGAACUGAUAAAUGCUCAUAGAGGCAUCAAUGGCCACCUUACGGCCAAAGUAGCUCUUGAUGUCAUUCUCCCGGAUGGCACUGGGGGCCACAUCAGCAAUUAGUUUGGCCAGGCCUUGAAUUCCCAUGGCAACACAGAGGAGGGAUGACUGGCCUUUGGGACACGCGGCCUCGGCGGCUAAAGCUUGGUUCGGGGUUGCCCCGGGCAGGCGGUCCUAA